AUUGAACGCUGGCGGCAGGCCUAACACAUGCAAGUCGAACGGUAGCACAGAGAGCUUGCUCUCGGGUGACGAGUGGCGGACGGGUGAGUAACGUCUGGGAAACUGCCCGAUGGAGGGGGAUAACUACUGGAAACGGUAGCUAAUACCGCAUAACGUCGCAAGACCAAAGUGGGGGACCUUCGGGCCUCACACCAUCGGAUGUGCCCAGAUGGGAUUAGCUAGUAGGUGGGGUAAUGGCUCACCUAGGCGACGAUCCAUAGCUGGUCUGAGAGGAUGACCAGCCACACUGGAACUGAGACACGGUCCAGACUCCUACGGGAGGCAGCAGUGGGGAAUAUUGCACAAUGGGCGCAAGCCUGAUGCAGCCAUGCCGCGUGUAUGAAGAAGGCCUUCGGGUUGUAAAGUACUUUCAGCGGGGAGGAAGGCGGUGAAGUUAAUAGCUUAACCGAUUGACGUUACCCGCAGAAGAAGCACCGGCUAACUCCGUGCCAGCAGCCGCAGUAA
RNAcentral lists this ribosomal RNA (504 nucleotides) under uncultured bacterium. RNAcentral's name for it is "partial 16S ribosomal RNA". It matches the Rfam family "Bacterial small subunit ribosomal RNA", at positions 30 to 523 of the family's 1533-position model. The record is from RNAcentral.